CCGUCAAUCCGGCUUGAAUCGAGGGACAGGUCUAGGGUAGGCCAGAGUCGGGUCUAGGGUAGGCAACACUCACCCUCGAAGUGGUCUACCCGGUAGCCAACUUCAAUCGCCUCUCACGGCCGCCACGGACCUCGAAUGACGACGGGACUACCACCAUCGGAUUCGCCUUGGUCGAAAUAGCUGGUAUAUGCACUUUUGAAAAAAUGCGUGCAAAAUGGUUUUGUGGUUUGGUGGCCGUGAGUCGAUUUUUUUGUUUUCCCAUACAAAUGAAUUUUGCGGAAAAUAAAAAGUGGCCCACGAGGCAGUCCUGGCGUGCGGCCCACUAAAAAGGUCUCGGAGGGUAUAUGAGAAGGGAGCAAAUCCGGCCGAGCCUGAAAGGGUGAGGACAAACCGGGCGAGCAACCUCUCAGUAUCAGAUCUUGCAGACUUCCACUGCGUGUCCCUCUGUACAGCUUUGCAGGCUCCGGCCUCGGCAGCGGGGGGUUCAUAGUGGUCGUCGACCUCCACGAAACUGCACGCUCCGGCGUGACAGCGUACUGGGGAUGCCUGUGUAGAUGCAGUCCGGGCUUGCCUGGACCGCUAGCAGAUGGGCUCUGUGGAUGACUGGCCGCUGGCUAGACCUGAAACCUGAGCAACGGGAGGUAACCUCUCGCCGCGGACACCGGAAUGGUAGAAGCGGCGUGCUGCGUCCUCCUCUUGGGGCCCCUAAGCCACACCUCCCAUAGCGGGUUCGGUGCGGCGGACGGACGCCCUGGGGAAUUUAGAGGGGGAAAGCGGAUUGCCCUAGCGGUGUUGUUGGCCCUGCCGACCUCACUGCGAAAGGCGCGACUUCACCGUCGCCACCCAGUAA
RNAcentral lists this unclassified non-coding RNA (850 nucleotides) under Fusarium oxysporum. RNAcentral's name for it is "partial contains 28S ribosomal RNA, 28S-18S ribosomal RNA intergenic spacer, and 18S ribosomal RNA". Lineage: Eukaryota; Fungi; Ascomycota; Sordariomycetes; Hypocreales; Nectriaceae. The record is from RNAcentral.